GUGAAAUUGGCACAUUACCUAUCUGACAUGAAGAAAAACUAAAAUAAACAAAAACAUUAAUAUCCACUACAAAGUCCCAUCUCAAAUAUCACUUCUGUGAAGGCAUACCUGACUCCUCUCACUUCCAAGAUUCUACAAGUUUGCCUCAUGGAAGGGAGCCAAUAUGAUCUGAGCACCUGCAGAUAAGAGAAAAGGCACUUGAGGAGGAGUGGUUGAGUUAGAUGAACCAGCUGCUUCUGAAGAAGGGGCAGACGUAUGUACGUUUUAAAGCUGAGAGCUGUGAAGGAAGAAAGAGCCCCUAAAAGACAGGAAUAAGAAGACACAAACAUGCUGUGUAGGAAAUGGAGGUCAUUCUAAAGCUAUCUGGAAACAGUCACCAUGGUGACUGUGCUCACGUAGUGAGACAUAAUAAUACCAUAGUAGGGUGAACCUGGCAGACCAUUGCAAUACAAGUUUCCUGCUUUGACAUCUUAUGUAGUCUGGUCCCA
Molecule: long non-coding RNA, 488 nt
Filed under: Pan troglodytes (chimpanzee)
Lineage: Eukaryota; Metazoa; Chordata; Mammalia; Primates; Hominidae
Description: long non-coding RNA NONPTRT018288
Source: RNAcentral